GAAAAAGAGACUUCAAGAAUAAGUGAACUUCGUUCAAGUGCAUCAUUUCAACAUAAUUACUACCUAUGUUUCAUAAAAAGAUCAUAGAAAGCUUCAGUUAUAAACCAAACCUCAAAUUUUGUUUCAGAAGAAAAUUCCUGUUCAGCAAUUGACUAAAAAGCAAUGUCAAGAACCACAUAAGUCUGUGUAUGCAAUAGACUGAAAAUUUUAGCUGUCUG
This 218-nucleotide unclassified non-coding RNA is filed under the name Hevea brasiliensis (rubber tree). Lineage: Eukaryota; Viridiplantae; Streptophyta; Magnoliopsida; Malpighiales; Euphorbiaceae. The record is from RNAcentral.